RNAcentral lists this ribosomal RNA (1420 nucleotides) under uncultured bacterium. RNAcentral describes it as "bacterial SSU rRNA". It matches the Rfam family "Bacterial small subunit ribosomal RNA". The record is from RNAcentral.
AGAGUUUGAUCCUGGCUCAGAUUGAACGCUGGCGGCAGGCCUAACACAUGCAAGUCGAGCGGUAGCACAGAGAGCUUGCUCUCGGGUGACGAGCGGCGGACGGGUGAGUAAUGUCUGGGAAACUGCCUGAUGGAGGGGGAUAACUACUGGAAACGGUAGCUAAUACCGCAUAAUGUCGCAAGACCAAAGUGGGGGACCUUCGGGCCUCAUGCCAUCAGAUGUGCCCAGAUGGGAUUAGCUAGUAGGUGGGGUAACGGCUCACCUAGGCGACGAUCCCUAGCUGGUCUGAGAGGAUGACCAGCCACACUGGAACUGAGACACGGUCCAGACUCCUACGGGAGACAGCAGUGGGGAAUAUUGCACAAUGGGCGCAAGCCUGAUGCAGCCAUGCCGCGUGUGUGAAGAAGGCCUUCGGGUUGUAAAGCACUUUCAGCGGGGAGGAAGGCGUUAAGGUUAAUAACCUUGGCGAUUGACGUUACCCGCAGAAGAAGCACCGGCUAACUCCGUGCCAGCAGCCGCGGUAAUACGGAGGGUGCAAGCGUUAAUCGGAAUUACUGGGCGUAAAGCGCACGCAGGCGGUCUGUCAAGUCGGAUGUGAAAUCCCCGGGCUCAACCUGGGAACUGCAUUCGAAACUGGCAGGCUAGAGUCUUGUAGAGGGGGGUAGAAUUCCAGGUGUAGCGGUGAAAUGCGUAGAGAUCUGGAGGAAUACCGGUGGCGAAGGCGGCCCCCUGGACAAAGACUGACGCUCAGGUGCGAAAGCGUGGGGAGCAAACAGGAUUAGAUACCCUGGUAGUCCACGCCGUAAACGAUGUCGAUUUGGAGGUUGUGCCCUUGAGGCGUGGCUUCCGGAGCUAACGCGUUAAAUCGACCGCCUGGGGAGUACGGCCGCAAGGUUAAAACUCAAAUGAAUUGACGGGGGCCCGCACAAGCGGUGGAGCAUGUGGUUUAAUUCGAUGCAACGCGAAGAACCUUACCUGGUCUUGACAUCCACAGAACUUUCCAGAGAUGGAUUGGUGCCUUCGGGAACUGUGAGACAGGUGCUGCAUGGCUGUCGUCAGCUCGUGUUGUGAAAUGUUGGGUUAAGUCCCGCAACGAGCGCAACCCUUAUCCUUUGUUGCCAGCGGUUCGGCCGGGAACUCAAAGGAGACUGCCAGUGAUAAACUGGAGGAAGGUGGGGAUGACGUCAAGUCAUCAUGGCCCUUACGACCAGGGCUACACACGUGCUACAAUGGCAUAUACAAAGAGAAGCGACCUCGCGAGAGCAAGCGGACCUCAUAAAGUAUGUCGUAGUCCGGAUUGGAGUCUGCAACUCGACUCCAUGAAGUCGGAAUCGCUAGUAAUCGUAGAUCAGAAUGCUACGGUGAAUACGUUCCCGGGCCUUGUACACACCGCCCGUCACACCAUGGGAGUGGGUUGCAA